GUUCCACAUACCACAUAAAGAGACAGGCAUAGCUGGUGCAGACAUGAUGGGCUAAACGGCCUCCUUUUGUGCCGUUAAAAAUUCUGAAAUUCUGAAUUUUUUGUUUUCCCUUUUUCCUUGAAACGCUUGUAUUUCUCACUCUUCCCCCAAACUCAAUGCUUUACCUGCAAUUUUCCUUUUGGUCACAUAGUACCUGAGACAUGUUGCUCAGUAAGUAGCAUUCUUGUCCCUUGAGUCAGGAGGUUGUGGGUUCAAGUCCCAUUCCAGAGGAAAUCUUGGCUGACUCUCCAGUAUUGAGGGAGUAUGCUAAGUUUCAGACAAGAUGUCUGCCCUUUCCUGUGGAUUUAAAAGACUCUGUCGUUAUUUAAAGAGGAGAGGGGAAUUCUGAUCAAUAUUUAUCCCUCAUUCAAUGUCAUGAAAAACAGAUUGCCUGGUCAUUAGCACAUCGUUGUUUGUGGGACCUUGCUGUGCACAAUUUGCAUGCUGCCUUUACAACACUGCUUCCACUUCAAUUGGCUGUCAUUGGGAUAUCCUACGGCCAUGAAAAGCACAAUCUAAUAUGAUUUCAAGCUUUUCUUCCUUGCACAAAACCAACAGAUUAACAUGUACGUCCUCAUAUUCCAGCACUAAAAGUGAUUUGUUGCUGCAGCACCUCAGGAUUUGCUGUUCUCCCCUCUCACUCAGUACCAAUGUGAGCUGCUGUCAAGCCCAGCUAACCUGGAGAAGAAUGAGAAAGUUGGCAAAUUAUCUGACAGUCCCGUGGAGUGACUGAUUAUCUGUGAGAUCUCAUCACAAUGUUCAUGCUCAUUAGGAACUGGACGAGCAAACUCAUUUCACACAGAACCCCAACAACCAGGAGACCGAUAAGACUUCCAUCCCAGCUAUCUGGUCGCAGGAGGAAGAGCCUAAGGCUACAUUCUGUCCUGGAUGAAUCUACUUCACAUUCUAAGUUUUCUUUUAAAGGUGCUGACUCAUGCUGUGUAACACAGGCACCUGCAGAUCUCUGGUACCUCACCCGAGUGUGUAAUAAUUGUCAAGGGCAAGUGGAAGGCCUAUUUCCAUAGCAGAGAACAGCUAAUGCUGCAUAGACCUUGAAUCGACCUACCUGGUCUCUAUGAUUCAGAAGUACACUGCAUCAAUCCAGUGGGGGAGAGCUUACCACCAAAUACUUCUGUCGCCUGGAUUUACAAACAUAUUUUAUACUUUCUAUGAGGCAGAUGCACAAUACUUGGCCUACAUUAGAAGAAAUUGUAAUUCAAAAUUGCUGUGAAGCACUUUAAGAUGUCCCAACGUACUGAAAGACACAAAACAAAAAUAAAAAUACCUGGAAAAACUCAGCAGGUCUGGCAGCAUCUGCGGAGAGGAACACAGUUAACGUUUCGAGUACGAAUGACCCUUCAACAGUACUGAAAGACACUGUAGAAAUGCAAAAUUCGUUCUUUAAUAAAUUACUUAAUUUACACAUUAA
This is a long non-coding RNA of Carcharodon carcharias (great white shark), 1468 nucleotides long. RefSeq lists it as uncharacterized. The record is from RefSeq and is a predicted model, not a curated record. NCBI's taxonomy places the organism in Eukaryota, Metazoa, Chordata, Chondrichthyes, Lamniformes, Lamnidae. The transcript is spliced from 4 exons.